This is a non-coding RNA of Podarcis lilfordi (Lilford's wall lizard), 69 nucleotides long. NCBI's taxonomy places the organism in Eukaryota, Metazoa, Chordata, Lepidosauria, Squamata, Lacertidae. The record is from the annotation of a GenBank genome assembly.
GCCCAGGGUAGCUCAGUUGGUAGAGGAUGAGAAACCCUGAGGUUGUGAGUUCAAGCCCCACGUUGGGCG